Molecule: ribosomal RNA, 301 nt
Filed under: uncultured bacterium
Lineage: Bacteria
Description: partial 16S ribosomal RNA
Rfam family: Bacterial small subunit ribosomal RNA
Source: RNAcentral
CAGUAGCCGCCGGGAAUACGUAGGUGGCGAGCGUUGUCCGGAAUUAUUGGGCGUAAAGGGCUCGCAGGCGGUUUCUUAAGUCUGAUGUGAAAGCCCCCGGCUCAACCGGGGAGGGUCAUUGGAAACUGGGAAACUUGAGUGCAGAAGAGGAGAGUGGAAUUCCAUGUGUAGCGGUGAAAUGCGUAGAGAUGUGGAGGAACACCAGUGGCGAGGGCGACUCUCUGGUCUGUAACUGACGCUGAGGAGCGAAAGCGUGGGGAGCGAACAGGAUUAGAUACCCCUGUAGUCCCUGUCUCUUAUA